This 130-nucleotide ribosomal RNA is filed under the name Macrococcoides goetzii. RNAcentral's name for it is "Macrococcus goetzii partial 23S ribosomal RNA". It matches the Rfam family "Bacterial large subunit ribosomal RNA", at positions 2799 to 2925 of the family's 2925-position model. Lineage: Bacteria; Bacillati; Bacillota; Bacilli; Caryophanales; Staphylococcaceae. The record is from RNAcentral.
UCAAGAUGAGAUUUCCCAACUUCGGUUAUAAGAUCCCUCAAAGAUGAUGAGGUUAAUAGGUUCGAGGUGGAAGUACAGUAAUGUAUGGAGCUGACGAAUACUAAUCGAUCGAAGACUUAAUCAAUUUAUA